CACCAGGCUGCUGCUGCUGCUGCUGCUGCUGUCUCCUCCCCAGCCCCAUGCAGGAGGCAGAGGCGAAGGCAGGACGAUGAAUUAUUUAAAGGCGGACGCACCACCCUGGGUACCUUAAUGCACCCUGGGGAACAAAUAGCCGCGAGCAAUUUUCCUACAGCCCUCGGACGAAGACGCCGGCCCUCCCUUCCUCCCUCACGCCCGGUCUCUGGGAAACCACGAAGGCUGCGAGCGUACACGGGAUCAUCCCCCUGGAUAGAAGUAAAUCCUACCGAAGUCAAGAGGAUUUAUUCCGAAGGAGGAAAAACGCUUUAGAUCGGGCAGUAUGAAUUGUGCCUCACGGAUGGGGAACAAAUCACACGAACUGGAAGAAAUGCCCUAGACCCUCCUGAGUCGGACCGAGGAACCUUGUCAACAAGCUUCUCCAAGCUCACGGUGUGAGCCCCUGAGUAGGACAAACAUUAGCCCCACCCCGAUUUCAUAACAGCUCCAAAAAGGCCUGCAUUCCUAUAAUAAUGGCACUGCACAACCCCUACCCUAGAGAAAACACUGAAUGGGUACUCACAUUUAAUUGCUCUGUAAGGGAUGGGGGGGAGGCUUCAACGAGUAUCCUGUUUCUUGCCAUUACUGUACAGACUACAUACAUGUCAAUCACCUGGUCAGUGAAGUUGCUUGCUUUCCCUUUUUCAACUAAAAGUUGCUUGUAUUCAUUGCUGUUAUUUCUUAGCCACAGCCUUUAGUGAAUACUGGAGUCCACCUGUGCAGCUAGGAUUCUGUUGGUACUUUAGCAUCAGAUUUAGCCAUGCUACCUGAAGUACUUCAAAAUAAGGAAUAUUUUUUAAGAAGUUAUUAAAUUCUGUACUACCCCAGCACCAUUGCCAUUACUUUCCUCAGGGAUGGGUUCCCCCCCCCCAAACUUCCUAGUUCCUAGUUUGUAAUUUAUACAGACAGCAGGUUAGAUUAAAUUUGCCUUUUUCACUUUUCUUUCUUU
Candoia aspera is the source of this 991-nucleotide long non-coding RNA. RefSeq lists it as uncharacterized. The record is from RefSeq and is a predicted model, not a curated record. The transcript has 2 exons. Lineage: Eukaryota; Metazoa; Chordata; Lepidosauria; Squamata; Candoiidae.